AUUGAACGCUGGCGGCAGGCCUAACACAUGCAAGUCGAGCGGAUGAAGGGAGCUUGCACCUGGAUUCAGCGGCGGACGGGUGAGUAAUGCCUAGGAAUCUGCCUGGUAGUGGGGGAUAACGUCCGGAAACGGGCGCUAAUACCGCAUACGUCCUGAGGGAGAAAGUGGGGGAUCUUCGGACCUCACGCUAUAAGAUGAGCCUACGUCGGAUUAGCUAGUUGGUGGGGUAAAGGCCUACCAAGGCGACGAUCCGUAACUGGUCUGAGAGGAUGAUCAGUCACACUGGAACUGAGACACGGACAAGACUCCUACGGGAGGCAGCAGUGGGGAAUAUUGGACAAUGGGCGAAAGCCUGAUCCAGCCAUGCCGCGUGUGUGAAGAAGGUCUUCGGAUUGUAAAGCACUUUAAGUUGGGAGGAAGGGCAGUAAGUUAAUACCUAGCUGUUUUGACGUUACCAACAGAAUAAGCACCGGCUAACUUCGUG
RNAcentral lists this ribosomal RNA (484 nucleotides) under uncultured bacterium. RNAcentral's name for it is "partial 16S ribosomal RNA". It matches the Rfam family "Bacterial small subunit ribosomal RNA", at positions 30 to 507 of the family's 1533-position model. The record is from RNAcentral.